AUUGAACGCUGGCGGCAGGCCUAACACAUGCAAGUCGAGCGAGCGGGGGGCGGGUGAGAAAUGUAUGGGGACUGCCCGAUAGAGGGGGAUAACUACUGGGAACGGUAGCGAAUCACGCAUAAUACAUGAUAAUCCACAUGGGAUUAGCUAGUAGGUGAGGUAAUGGCUCACCUCUGCGCCGAUCCCUAGCUGGUGUGUGAGGAUGAUCAGCCACACUGGGACGUAUACACGGCCCAGACUCCUACGGAGGCAGCAGGGGGGAAUAUUGCACAAUGGGCGCAAGCCUGAUGCAGCCAUGCCGCGUGUAUGAAGAAGGCCCUAGGGUUGUAAAGUACUUUCAGUCGGGAGGCGUUACCGCCAGAAGAAGCACCGGCUAACUCCGUGCCAGCAGCCGCGGUAAUAC
Molecule: ribosomal RNA, 403 nt
Filed under: uncultured bacterium
Lineage: Bacteria
Description: partial 16S ribosomal RNA
Rfam family: Bacterial small subunit ribosomal RNA
Source: RNAcentral